CGAAAACCUGUGAACACGUUUAAAAAUUGGCGUUGGGCGUCGGGUAAAACCUGCGCCCCUCGCCACCUGCGCCGAACGACACCAUACCGGGCUGUCGGUCGUGUCGGGCAACCGAAUAAAAAACGGCGCGGGAAGCGCCAAGGACUUUACGAAAUGGGAUGCCUUCUUGCGGAGAGGGCGUUCGCGGAUUCCUCGCCGUGGGGCUUGAGAGGCGCCUCAACGAAACAUACACGACUCUCGGCAACGGAUAUCUAGGCUCUCGCAUCGAUGAAGAACGUAGCAAACUGCGAUACUUGGUGUGAAUUGCAGAAUCCCGUGAACCAUCGAGUCUUUGAACGCAAGUUGCGCCCGAAGCCAUUAGGCCGAGGGCACGUCUGCCUGGGCGUCACGCAUCGCGUCGCCCCCCUACCUCACCCAAAGGUU
This 423-nucleotide unclassified non-coding RNA is filed under the name Hoya samoensis. RNAcentral describes it as "sequence contains 18S rRNA gene, ITS1, 5.8S rRNA gene, ITS2 and 28S rRNA gene". The stretch from base 233 to 388 matches the Rfam family "5.8S ribosomal RNA". The record is from RNAcentral. Lineage: Eukaryota; Viridiplantae; Streptophyta; Magnoliopsida; Gentianales; Apocynaceae.